Molecule: Y RNA, 95 nt
Organism: Macaca mulatta (Rhesus monkey)
Lineage: Eukaryota; Metazoa; Chordata; Mammalia; Primates; Cercopithecidae
Rfam family: Y RNA
About the family: Y RNAs are components of the Ro ribonucleoprotein particle (Ro RNP), in association with Ro60 and La proteins. The Y RNAs and Ro60 and La proteins are well conserved, but the function of the Ro RNP is not known.
Source: Ensembl
GGCUGGUCCGAUUGUAGUGGGUUACCAGACUUAGUAACAUUAAUAUCACUAAAGUUAGUAUACAGCCCCCCACUGCUAAAUUAGACUGGCUGUAA